Molecule: long non-coding RNA, 1504 nt
Organism: Agrilus planipennis (emerald ash borer)
Lineage: Eukaryota; Metazoa; Arthropoda; Insecta; Coleoptera; Buprestidae
Exons: 4
Source: RefSeq, a predicted model, not a curated record
UAAAGUUAGUUGUUGGCAGAAAUAUUCUAUAAGUCUAUAUAUCGUUAUAUAAGACUAAAAGAUUAUUAGCAGGAGUCUACGUUAGAUGAUUUGAGCAGGCAUUUGUAAUUGCUUAGGUAAAGAUUAAUAUAUUCAACCCAUUUAAUUUUUUUUAUUGAUCUAAUAAGUAUUUCUGCUGCUAUAGGGUUACACCAGCGGUUCAAUUCUACUGUCGUAAUGGAGCGUUGUAAAUGACAGAUAACAGAGAGUAAUGUGAACUGGUGAUUGUUUACGCGCUUAUUUUAUGAAAUUAGUGUGUUUUAAAUCAAAUCUGAAAUGAUUGGCCCAUCAAUUUGUAAUGAGAUAAUUAUUAGACGACUGGUGCAUAAGAAGCUGAUUAACUUUGGUCGUUUCGGUUUGUUAAUUAUGAACAUAACCUCGAAGUAAUCUUGUUAUCAUGAAAGUACUUAUAACUACUGAUAUUCUUUAAAUGAGAAGUUGGUAUCAAAAUUGAAGUCAUACCUUUGAGAAUGUUUCAUGUACUGUUCCUGUAGUGGAUUACAUAGUAGGGGUUUCAAGAAAUACCUAAUGGUCAGUUCAAUUUUCAGUGCGGUCUUUUGCCCAUUCACAAUGUAGUUGGAUAGAUAUGGUUUAUUCCAAGCAGGAAUACUUAUUUUGUGACUAGGAAGGAAUUGUGGAUAUCUUCCAAGAUAGGACUUCGGAUCAUACUCGAAAAGUGUCAUUGUGUUACUGCAGAUUUCACUUCACAUCUAUACUCCAUGUGAAAUAGCUUUUAAUUCAUAUUAUUAGGUCCUUUGCAAGAGUUUGGAUGCAGUAUGAAUAUAAUUCUAUUCCUAAUACUAUGUGGAAGCGCAGUGCAACAUAGUCGAAAUAGACAAGACAUGAAAUAGAAAUGUUAUGAAAACUCACCUCUAAUACUCACAAGCAACUCACGAAAACCCAACCGUACUUCAGGACUGAGGUUAAACUGUAAGCACAUGCGGAGCAACAUCUAGGUUCAGCAUGCACAAUGGUUUUAAUAGAGACUUUUCUCUGGGACCAAGCAACUUACUAAAUUAACUAAUUUUAUAGCACAAUGUGAGCAAUGUCAUAAUUACAAGAAUUAAAGGAAUAUACGGUUUCAACUUUAUUUGCCUAAAUAAAAGAAAAACGAAUUAGAAAGGAUAAAAAUGAGAAGGUAUUGGAAAAAGUAGGAGAACAAAAAGAGUUAUGAAAGUCAAUAAGGAAAAAGAGAGAUAGAAUGGUAGGGCGCUUUUUAGGGGGUAGUUAGAGACAUACUACAAGCAGACCAGCAGACUGAUGACCCUAAAUGAUGGUAACAGAAGAAAUUUGUAUUUCUUACAUUUAUUCCUAGGAUAAGUAAUAUUUGUUGAAUUUAUAGUGUAUACUUAGUAAUAAGAACUACAUUUUUUUAAACAAAAACGGUUGUAACUGAAGAUGUUGUCUAAUAAUUGUAAUGUAGGAAAUGUAGGCAUUUUGUAUCCUAUUUUAAUGUUUAAAUAAA